RNAcentral lists this ribosomal RNA (243 nucleotides) under uncultured bacterium. Its description in RNAcentral is "partial 16S ribosomal RNA". It matches the Rfam family "Bacterial small subunit ribosomal RNA", at positions 28 to 269 of the family's 1533-position model. The record is from RNAcentral.
GACGAACGCUGGCGGCGUGCUUAACACAUGCAAGUCGAGCGGUAAGGCCUCGGGUACGACGAGCGGCGAACGGGUGGAGUAACACGUGGGUGGACCUGCCUCUAGCUCUGGGAGUAAGACCUGGGAAACGUAGGGUCGUAAUACCGGAUAUGACUCCACGGCGCAUGUUGUGGGGUGGGAAAGCCUUGUGUGGCUAGAGAUGGGCCCGCGGCCUAUCAGCUUGUUGGUGGGGUGAUGGCCACC